This 930-nucleotide ribosomal RNA is filed under the name Enterococcus faecalis. RNAcentral's name for it is "bacterial SSU rRNA". It matches the Rfam family "Bacterial small subunit ribosomal RNA", at positions 57 to 954 of the family's 1533-position model. The record is from RNAcentral. Lineage: Bacteria; Bacillati; Bacillota; Bacilli; Lactobacillales; Enterococcaceae.
GACAAGUCGAACAGCUUCUUUCCUCCCGAGUGCUUGCACUCAAUUGGAAAGAGGAGUGGCGGACGGGUGAGUAACACGUGGGUAACCUACCCAUCAGAGGGGGAUAACACUUGGAAACAGGUGCUAAUACCGCAUAACAGUUUAUGCCGCAUGGCAUAAGAGUGAAAGGCGCUUUCGGGUGUCGCUGAUGGAUGGACCCGCGGUGCAUUAGCUAGUUGGUGAGGUAACGGCUCACCAAGGCCACGAUGCAUAGCCGACCUGAGAGGGUGAUCGGCCACACUGGGACUGAGACACGGCCCAGACUCCUACGGGAGGCAGCAGUAGGGAAUCUUCGGCAAUGGACGAAAGUCUGACCGAGCAACGCCGCGUGAGUGAAGAAGGUUUUCGGAUCGUAAAACUCUGUUGUUAGAGAAGAACAAGGACGUUAGUAACUGAACGUCCCCUGACGGUAUCUAACCAGAAAGCCACGGCUAACUACGUGCCAGCAGCCGCGGUAAUACGUAGGUGGCAAGCGUUGUCCGGAUUUAUUGGGCGUAAAGCGAGCGCAGGCGGUUUCUUAAGUCUGAUGUGAAAGCCCCCGGCUCAACCGGGGAGGGUCAUUGGAAACUGGGAGACUUGAGUGCAGAAGAGGAGAGUGGAAUUCCAUGUGUAGCGGUGAAAUGCGUAGAUAUAUGGAGGAACACCAGUGGCGAAGGCGGCUCUCUGGUCUGUAACUGACGCUGAGGCUCGAAAGCGUGGGGAGCAAACAGGAUUAGAUACCCUGGUAGUCCACGCCGUAAACGAUGAGUGCUAAGUGUUGGAAGGGUUUCCGCCCUUCAGUGCUGCAGCAAACGCAUUAAGCACUCCGCCUGGGGAGUACGACCGCAAGGUUGAACUCAAAGGAAUUGACUGUGGGCCCGCACAAGCGGUGGAGCAUGUGGUUUAAUUCGA